AACCACUCGCUCUCUCGCUCGCUCGCCGGCCAGUCGUUCAAUCUCCCCGUCGCCUCCCUCUCCCUCUCGUCGGUGUCUUCCUCACUGCCGCCUUGCUCCCCACCACCCUGAUUCGUACCCCUAACCCGCAACCCGCUUGUCAAAGGUGACAUUUUUACAGCCGCGCUGCUCGAUCUGUGAGCGGCGGUGCUCGAUCCGUCGGCGGCGUCGCUCGAUCCGUGCUGGAGCAGCGGGAGGAGGACGGCGGUGGUGGAUUGGAGACCGAAGCAGCGGGAGGAGGACGACGGUGCUGGAUUGGAGACCGGGGCAGCGGGCUUCUUCUAUUCUUCUCUUCUGUCCAGAAGCAGCCGCGGCUUGUUGACCUGCGCGCCUUCGUCCUGGCCGUGGCCGCUACCUGAGCUGCCCGCGAGGCGGCGCGGCAUGUGGGGGUCCCGAUGACCUUGAGGAGGAAGGCGAGCAUGGUGCUCCCGCCUCCAUGGCUAACAUUGUGAUGCUGCUGUCGUCAUCUUCCUGGUCGUCCUUGGCGUGCUUGCCUCCUGUGCCGCUGCUUCGCCGGACGAUGUUGCGCAGGAGGUGCGUCUGGCCGCAGAGGAAGGAGGUGUGCGUCUGACCGAAGCAGAGGGAGGACACCGCAUGCGCCUGGAGCACCGUAUAAGCGUCACCGUCGUCGUCCACUCCAUGCCCUGCAUCAGUUUUGGCAGCUCCAAUACUCCAAACUGUUGAUGGACAGAUGGACAGAUGGAAGGAGCAGCAGAGCGAGCUUGAUCAAUACUCCUAUCCCUGUAUGUACUCCAACACAGCAGAGCGAGCUUGGUCAACACAACAGAGGUUGAUCAACACAGCAGUAUUUGUACUCAAGUCUCCAACACAGACUGUUGAUGGCGCUGGCUUCUGUACUCCAACACAGACUGUGGAACCAACUUACUGCUCCUGUGCAUGAAUCCGGAGAACCAGAGUGGAGAACCAGUAUCUACUCCAGCAAAGACUCAGGCGAUCAACACAGACUGCAGGACUGCCGGCGAGGAAGAGAUCAAUUGGAGUGACUGGUCGACCUGGCUGCUCGCCGACGAGGUCAAUUGGCCGGAUCAGGAGCUCCGGUGCAUGAAUCGAGGAGGGCGUCGGGUUGCGCUGCUACUGCUGGUCAGUGCGGGGAGGAGCACGGGCGGCACGACAGGCAGGAGCCGCGGGCGGCUGGAGCCUGUGGCGGACGACGAGGGAGAUGCGUAUGGCAAGGACGGACCUUGGGUUCUCGAUCGGAGUGGAGGAAGGCGGCCGGCGGGGGCGGACGCCGGAGCUGCAGCGGAGGGGUGGAGCCUGGCGGACGGGAAUAGCGACGGAGGAAGAGGACGAUCCGAGCGACAAGUGUUUUUCAAAUUGGGGGUAGUUUCGUACUUUUUUUCCUUUUCAUCUGGUCGGAGAAUUGCCCCAAUGACAAAUAAAUCGGUACAGAGGGAGUAAUCUGCCCCUCUGUAGUGUUAUAAACGUUCUUAUAUUAUGGGACGGAGGGAGUAAAUGUCAUUCUGCUAAAAGAACAUGCUAAAGAAAUUGCAUGCAUGCUUAUGGGUAUCAUUAGAUGGCAAAAAGAAGUUCUCGGACUCUUGAAUGGAUGCGUGAGUGCUUGCAUGGGCUGCAGAAAAUUGCUGCUCCGGAACGGGCAAGCUGAGUGGUGUGCGUCAUUUGGAGUGAACGAGAUAG
RNAcentral lists this ribosomal RNA (1695 nucleotides) under Triticum aestivum (bread wheat). Its description in RNAcentral is "partial small subunit ribosomal RNA". The record is from RNAcentral. Lineage: Eukaryota; Viridiplantae; Streptophyta; Magnoliopsida; Poales; Poaceae.